CUCACCGUUUUUGACAUCAGGUACUUAUUCGACGAUUGAAAAUGUGCGGAACUGUCACCUGGAACAGGGAUUACUUUGUUUCAUGGUUUCAAGAGAUGGUAACAGUUAGAUUCUAACUGUUAGAAGGAGGUCAAAGGGGCUUUCUUGUAUUGAACUGAAAUCCAAAUGGCUGAGUGUCUUACUCCUGCACAGAACUGGGGGAAUCCACACCCUCGGAGAAACAUCUAGAAGAUGUGGCCAAUUCCAUUCAGUCACGAAAGUGUUUCUUGUAAAUCCAUUGUGACCAAGAAUUCACCUGGAAAUAGUUCCUCUUUUCAUUAACAUUCAAAUACAUGUGAAGCUCUUAUCGUGUGCCUGUAAAUAAAAUGGUGAACAAGGCCGAGAAACAGAAGCUACAUUUUUCUAGAGCUUUCUGGUAUGUUAAUGAACAAUCAAGCAAAUAUCUGUCUCUCUCCCUCGUUGGCUGUAGGCUGCAGGAGGGCAGAAGCCAUGUCUUUGCUCCCAAUUGUCUACACUGUGCCUAGAACAUGGUAGGCACUGAAGUAUCUGUUGUUCCCGCCCUAACGCUUCACUUGGUGAAUCCCUAGAGGAGCUGGGACAUGGCCAGGGAGGGUGAAAUAUGAUAAGUAAGAGGAAAGCACAGCUCAGAGUUGACAGGGACCCCACGUGCAAGAACUGAGACUCACAAUGGAUUUACCAACUCCUUGGCUAAUGCAUUUAAUCUUUCUUGACCCUGAAGCUGAAAGCAAGUGAAGGCAAAGAGGCAGCCUAAGUCAGCAUCAGGCUGCUGUGUUUCCAAUUUAUCACCAAAGUUGUUUAGAUCAGCUGAUUAAAUCCCAGAGGGGUCUGGGAUAUGUAGUCUGAGAAGUAUUCCUGGAUGCCAUGCUUAAACUGUGGCACAAUAAAAUCAAAGUUACAACGCAGAGGUGUGGAUAUGUGGUGCUGAAGCUCUCUCAGGAGGAAGAAGUCCUUUCAAUGGGGAGCUUCUGGGAUGCAUUUGCAGCAGUUGUAUUUGAUUUAUAAAAAAUAUAGUUUUCCCAGAAGUUUUGAAGAAUGAUAAUUUAAAAAAAUAACAAGUCAAGGUCAAGGGCAUUCUACACCCUGGGGACCCAUUCAAUCUUGUUCCUUUUCUAACUUCUCUGGAAAUAGUUCCUCUUUUCAUACAGAGGCCCACAAGAGGGUGCUACACUCCUUUUAGACCUACCUUCUUGUAUCAGCCCGAAGGCCACAGGGAGCUACAAAACCAUCAUAAAAAUAAGACAGAAAGUGCUGAUUUCACACCGGUGAUGACAGCCAAUGAGUAAUCUAAAGUAACCCAGAUAAGAAACUUCACCUAACUGCUGAUACCUAAACUGCUUUACGAAAUCAGCUAAACCUGACCUCAAGACCCGGGAUCUAAUUUCUCUGAAAGGAAACUCAACUCUGGGAAUGAAUAGAGUUGAUUGGCAGAAGAUCCAGAACACAUACUGCCUUCACACAUAUUGUUCAAGAGACCAGGCUAUUGAGCCCUUUGUCUAAGAAAAUUCCCCCAAACCCGUCUUUUUUAUUACAGGCACUUCA
Long non-coding RNA from Eptesicus fuscus (big brown bat), 1560 nucleotides. RefSeq lists it as uncharacterized. NCBI's taxonomy places the organism in Eukaryota, Metazoa, Chordata, Mammalia, Chiroptera, Vespertilionidae. The record is from RefSeq and is a predicted model, not a curated record. The transcript has 3 exons.